This 74-nucleotide transfer RNA is filed under the name compost metagenome. RNAcentral describes it as "tRNA-Asn". It matches the Rfam family "tRNA". From Rfam's summary of the family: Transfer RNA (tRNA) molecules are approximately 80 nucleotides in length. Their secondary structure includes four short double-helical elements and three loops (D, anti-codon, and T loops). Further hydrogen bonds mediate the characteristic L-shaped molecular structure. tRNAs have two regions of fundamental functional importance: the anti-codon, which is responsible for specific mRNA codon recognition, and the 3' end, to which the tRNAs corresponding amino acid is attached (by aminoacyl-tRNA synthetases). tRNAs cope with the degeneracy of the genetic code in two manners: having more than one tRNA (with a specific anti-codon) for a particular amino acid; and 'wobble' base-pairing, i.e. permitting non-standard base-pairing at the 3rd anti-codon position. The record is from RNAcentral.
GGUGAAGUAGCUCAGCAGGUAGAGCAAUGCACUGUUAAUGUAUCGGUCAAAGGUUCGAUCCCUUUCUUCUCCGC